UCCUACGGGACGCAGCAGUGGGGAAUAUUGCACAAUGGGGGAAACCCUGAUGCAGCAACGCCGCGUGAGUGAUGAAGGCCUUCGGGUUGUAAAGCUCUGUCUUCAGGGACGAUAAUGACGGUACCUGAGGAGGAAGCCACGGCUAACUACGUGCCAGCAGCCGCGGUAAUACGUAGGUGGCAAGCGUUGUCCGGAUUUACUGGGCGUAAAGGGAGCGUAGGCGGAUACUUAAGUGGGAUGUGAAAUACCUGGGCUUAACUUGGGUGCUGCAUUCCAAACUGGGUGUCUAGAGUGUUGGAGAGGAAAGUGGAAUUCCUAGUGUAGCGGUGAAAUGCGUAGAGAUUAGGAAGAACACCAGUGGCGAAGGCGACUUUCUGGACAAUAACUGACGCUGAGGCUCGAAAGCGUGGGGAGCAAACAGGAUUAGAUACCCUGGUAGG
This 440-nucleotide ribosomal RNA is filed under the name uncultured bacterium. RNAcentral's name for it is "bacterial SSU rRNA". It matches the Rfam family "Bacterial small subunit ribosomal RNA", at positions 337 to 794 of the family's 1533-position model. The record is from RNAcentral.